This is a long non-coding RNA of Oreochromis niloticus (Nile tilapia), 1912 nucleotides long. NCBI's taxonomy places the organism in Eukaryota, Metazoa, Chordata, Actinopteri, Cichliformes, Cichlidae. The record is from Ensembl.
UGAAUCUCUACCAGUCAGAAUAUUACCAUAAUAAUCUUUUAGAUAUUUGAUACAUGUCUUUCCCUCUAAUCUUUCAGCUCUUCUUCCACCAACACUGACAGUGAGCACAGCAGUGAUCUCAGAGACAGACUCAGUCACGUUACACUGUCAGGCACCAGCAUCUGCCUCAGUGUAUCACUGUUAUUUUUAUACUGGGGAGCAACAAAGUAACAAAGACCUCUCGUGUCUGCAGACACUGACAGCAACUAAAAUGCUGUUAAUCUCACAUCAGAGAUCACCUGCUGAGGUCAAAGUCAGAUGUUUGUACACUGUGAAUUAUGGAUCUGUGACUUCUACUUCACCACACAGUAACCCAUCCUCCAUCACCAUACAAAGUCAAAAACCAGAGAUGAGUGUUCAGCAUUCUGAUGGGGAGUCUGUUCACAUCAUGUGCUUACUGCCUGGAUCUGUGAAAGAUGAUACAAGUACUUAUCUGUACUUUGGAGAAGCAAGUCAUCCAGUCCUAAAUCUAGGACUGCCAUUGAAAUGCGGGGUGAAGAAUGUGAGAGGCAUCGUUGAUGAUUUUGGCUGCCUGUCUAAGGGCCUGUUGGCUGCGGUGUGUACUUGACCAAAAAUAAGCUUUAAGUCAAUUUUCAGGUUAACAUGCGUACAUACGUUAUGCUAAAGCUACAAUUCUGAUGCUUAGCAUGAAUGAUAAAGCUUAGUCUCUCACUAUGACUCAUAAACACAAAAACCGUGUUUAUUUAGAGGAAGAGUUUGUCUUCUUGACAUUCACAGAGUUUUGCACCAUAAAUCAAGUGCAAGUGGUCAUGAUGUGACUUCCAGGAAGGGUUCAUAGGUGCAUGUCAGAAGCUUGAGAGAGUGAUUUAAAUUAAUUAGUUUUUAAAAAUUUAUUUUUGAAAUGACUCCUUUUGAAGUGAUGCAUAAAAGCAAAAAAUCCUUUUACUGUAGACAUUAUGGAAAGAGAAUCAACAAUGACCGACACAAAACCAUCAUCUACUCUAACCAUGGGUAGGUGUUAGAUACAAUACUUGUAAAAUAAAUCCAGAAGAUCAUCACACAUGACUUUUUUAAAUGAACUUAGACACUUUUUUAUGCAUUUAUGCAGCAGAAUUGACCCUCACCACAUCAGCUGCUUUCACUUCUAUCUCUUCUGAUAUGUCUCAUUAGUUAAACAAAAACUAUGGCCUAUGUGUUGCAUGCAGUUUUUUCAGUUUUAAUGCAAAUCUUGUAACAUUAAAGCUAAGUUGUGGAAUUUUUAUUUAUUUAAUAUUUUUAUUGUACACUAAAUGUUUUCUGUAUACACUCAAAGGUCCAACAAUCCAAAUAUUCUGAGUCUGAACCUUGUUUAUGGUGUAUACCAACAAUGUUUUUGUUAUGUUGUUUUCUUUACUGUAGUUUAAUCUUUAUUAUUGAUACAGAAAAGAAAUUCAGUAGCAAAUAUUUACUUUAAAAAAUACUAAUAUAUUUGACAUUGCGUUAAUUAUUUUGUAUUCAUGUGUUUUAAAUUAGUAACUACUAUUAAUCUAAACUAUGCAACUAAUAUGACCUCUGCAACCACAAAAGCUGAGGACAUGACAUCAGGAGGGAGUAACACAGGUACUCUUAUGAGUACAAUGAAAAUGCAAAGAUAUGUUGCUGCGAAAGUUUUUGUAAUAUUUCUGUUUGAGAAACCUGUAAAUAAAACAAACACUGGUACGUCAUAAAACCAACCCUCACAGGAGUAAAGUAUUUCACAUAGUGUAUAUUGCAACUGUCAUUAAAUGGUAAAUGGAUUGAUUCUUAUAUGGCGCUUUAAGAUUCACUCAGAGCUCAGAGUGCUAUUUAAACCUGUACAUUAGAAUAAUCACAGUUUUUCUAUACAGUUUGACUUCCAUCUACUGUCUUCCCUUUUAUUUACAGAACAUCAGCA